GUCGUGAGAUGUUGGGUUAAGUCCCGCAACGAGCGCAACCCUUGUCAUUAGUUGCUACAUUUAGUUGGGCACUCUAAUGAGACUGCCGGUGACAAACCGGAGGAAGGUGGGGAUGACGUCAAGUCCUCAUGGCCCUUAUGGGUAGGGCUUCACACGUAAUACAAUGGCGCGUACAGAGGGCUGCUAAGCCGCGAGGUAGAGCCAAUCCCUUAAAGCGCGUCGUAGUCCGGAUUGCAGUCUGCAACUCGACUGCAUGAAGUCGGAAUCGCUAGUAAUCGCGGAUCAGCAUGUCGCGGUGAAUACGUUCCCGGGUCUUGUACACACCGCCCGUCACACCAUGGGAGUGGGUUUCACCAGAAGCCGGUCGCCUAACCGCAAGGAGGGCGCCGACCACGGUGAGAUUCAUGACUGGGGUGAAGUCGUAACAAGGUAGCCGUAUCGGAAGGUGCGGCUGGAUCACCUCCUUUCUAAGUCAAGCACCCGCAGUGCCCACCCUCUAUCGGCUGUUCCUUCGCGAAAAGUGAAGAGAGUCGACGCCUUUACACGACCGGGUCUGUAGCUCAGUUGGUUAGAGCACCGUCUUGAUAAGGCGGGGGUCGAUGGUUCGAAUCCAUCCAGACCCACCAUUCGACUCUUUACUCGCUCUUUAACAAUCUGGGAUUAGAAGGUAGUUGUUCUUGUUGUUGGCGUGCUUGAAGGGUUUGUCUGAGCGUGUUGACGGCGAGGACACUGGGUUAUGUAUUGCAUCGUGUCUCAUCGAUGUAGUUGUCGAUGGGAUGCACAAGCGUGAGAGUUUCCUAUUUCUUUGUGAUGGUGCGGGCGACUUUGGCCCGUGCCGCUUGCUGUUCAUGGCAGGCAGCAAGGUUAUAGGGUCAAGCGAAUAAGUGCAUGUGGUGGAUGCCUUGGCAAUGAUAGGCGAUGAAGGACGUGACAGCCUGCGAUAAGCUGCGGGGAGCCGGCAAAUGGGCGCUGAUCCGCAGAUUU
RNAcentral lists this small RNA (984 nucleotides) under uncultured beta proteobacterium. RNAcentral's name for it is "bacterial SSU rRNA". The stretch from base 1 to 467 matches the Rfam family "Bacterial small subunit ribosomal RNA", at positions 1064 to 1533 of the family's 1533-position model. The record is from RNAcentral. Lineage: Bacteria; Pseudomonadati; Pseudomonadota; Betaproteobacteria.